Molecule: ribosomal RNA, 561 nt
Filed under: uncultured Glomus
Lineage: Eukaryota; Fungi; Glomeromycota; Glomeromycetes; Glomerales; Glomeraceae
Description: SSU rRNA
Rfam family: Eukaryotic small subunit ribosomal RNA
Source: RNAcentral
AAUUGGAGGGCAAGUCUGGUGCCAGCAGCCGCGGUAAUUCCAGCUCCAAUAGCGUAUAUUAAAGUUGUUGCAGUUAAAAAGCUCGUAGUUGAACUUCGGGGUUUACCCAUUGGUCAGGCUUAAUUGUCUGUACUGGUGAGAUAAAUCUCUACCUUCUGAGGAACUUUCAUGCCAUUUAUUUGGUGUGAUUGGAAAUCAGGACUAUUACUUUGAAAAAAUUAGAGUGUUUAAAGCAGGCUAAAGUCUGAAUACAUUAGCAUGGAAUAAUGAAAUAGGACGGAUUGAUUCUAUUUCGUUGGUUUCUAGGAUCACCGUAAUGAUUAAUAGGGAUAGUUGGGGGCAUUAGUAUUCAAUUGUCAGAGGUGAAAUUCUUGGAUUUAUUGAAGACUAACUACUGCGAAAGCAUUUGCCAAGGAUGUUUUCAUUAAUCAAGAACGAAAGUUAGGGGAUCGAAGACGAUCAGAUACCGUCGUAGCCUUAACCAUAAACUAUGCCGACUAGGGAUCGGACGAAGUUAAUUUUAUAAUGACGCGUUCGGCACCUUACGGGAAACCAAAGUGU